RNAcentral lists this unclassified non-coding RNA (236 nucleotides) under Pyrenula sp. RNAcentral's name for it is "partial contains small subunit ribosomal RNA, internal transcribed spacer 1, and 5.8S ribosomal RNA". The stretch from base 1 to 46 matches the Rfam family "Eukaryotic small subunit ribosomal RNA", at positions 1786 to 1831 of the family's 1831-position model. The record is from RNAcentral. Lineage: Eukaryota; Fungi; Ascomycota; Eurotiomycetes; Pyrenulales; Pyrenulaceae.
AAGUCGUAACAAGGUUUCCGUAGGUGAACCUGCGGAAGGAUCAUUACUGAGUUAGGGUCUUUGGCCCGACCUCCAACCCUUUGUCGAAACACCUUUGUUGCUUUGGCUGGCCAGCUUAGCGGUCGGAGCUAGCUCUGACUAGUGCCUGCCAAUAGCCCAUUUAAAUUCGUUCAAUAUUGAAUGUCUGAUAUACUUGAAAUUAAACAAAACUUUCAACAACGGAUCUCUUGGUUCUG